RNAcentral lists this unclassified non-coding RNA (142 nucleotides) under uncultured Mortierella. RNAcentral's name for it is "sequence contains ITS1". The record is from RNAcentral. Lineage: Eukaryota; Fungi; Mortierellomycota; Mortierellomycetes; Mortierellales; Mortierellaceae.
UAAUAAGUGUUUUAUGGCACUUUUUAAAUCCAUAUCCACCUUGUGUGCAAUGUCAGGUUGUCCUCUUCAUUUUCUGGAGAGGAUGACCCAAACAUCAACUUAUCCUUGAACGUGCUCUGUGCCGCAAGGCCACUAAUAUAUA